UCGAUGUUUCAAAAACAUCGAUACAUCGUUUGCAUCCCUACACGUUCAUAGUUCAGCGAAUAAAAACACAGAUACUACGUUAGCUAUGUCAUGUUGCUCGAAUGAUGAAAGCGCUUCAGCUUGGAAAGUGUUCAAUGCAGUACCCGCUGGUGGAAGCAGAGGAACAGUAAGCCCUCCAUUCCGUUUGAAAAACCAGGUAAAAAGUGACCUGGUUUCUAUUGGUAUUUCCAAUUGGCGCCAGACAGCAAAAAGGAGAGAAAACUAGCGCAAGACUAGAUUCGCCUAUAAUAUGCAUAAGCGGUGCAUACGGCAAAUAUGUAUGUAUAUAUAAAUAAGAUCAGGUUGGCCAGACUCUCCCCAUGCCAAAUCUUCGUUUGAAAGUGCAGAAGAUAUAUUACGUCUUUAAAAAAUCAAAAUUGUUUUUGAAAGAUCUGAAGAAAUUAUAUUUAAUAUUUGUUUCGUUUAUUUAGGAUAAAGAGUGAAUUUAUCGAUUUGUUAUUUUAAUUCUAUGGUUUAUUCAUCUAGGAAAGAGAGAACCUUUAAUUUGUAAUACUAUUUUUAAUUAUUUUUUUUUAUUUACAAGUGGUUGAUGAUCAAGACGGUCCUUUUGACGGUUUUUUGGUUAGACUCUUUAACAGAGUUAUUGAAAAUAUGAUUCUAAACCUUACUCAGUGUAUGACACAAUUUUUGUAUACUAUGCAAACAUGAUUUCAUCAAAUCACAAAACCAAAUGUUACAAACCUUAUUACCUAAAAAGUUAGUAAACUAAAUAUUUGUAUAUGGAAUGCCAACAGUGUAAAUCAACACAAACUGGAGAUAUUACGAUUUCUGACUGAAAAAUACUACUGUCAGAAACUCAUUUAGCAAAUAUAAAUAAUUUCUUUAUACCGGUAUAUUUUUGUAUUACUAAUUUGCAUCGAAAUUAAUCUAAUGCGCAAGUUAAUGUAAAUUAAGCCGUCUGUCAUGGCUAUAAUGCAGUUGUAUUGACAAAACCAAAAAGAACAUUAAAACAGUUGGUUUAAGAAAGAUCACUAAUAUAGAAAACCUUUUAAAUGAGAAAAGCAAUGCUAGACGUGAAUGACAGUUAAGCCGUUCCCUCUUUGCUUCAACUGAAAUCUGCUUUACGUAAGUUGAAUAAGCGCUUAAACGCGAGGAAGAAUACAACAAUCAAAAUCAUAUAAAGAAACUGUGUCGAAAUUCUAGCAAGCAAACUUCCAUUUGGAAAGCCUAAAAGUAUUUUAAGCCACUAGUGGAUUCCAACAUGCUUAUAAGACAGUUGAAUGGUAAUUUGGCACGUAGAGAUAAAACCGAAAAAGGCUUCGGGACACGAUAAUAUUACUCCAAAAAUGUUAAUUGAGUAACCAAAUAUGUAAUGCUCUCCGUGCAAUUCUUGGUUUCCGGCACUACCCAAUUGCGUGGAAAAAUCGCAGAUCAUCAUGGUAGUUAAACCUGGAAAAGACUUAACACAUACGUCUCCCUACAAACCAAAAAGUCUAAGUAGGUAAAUAGAAUUACUUUUGAAAUGAGGAAGGCAUUCGAGCACAGAGAGUACUGUUCAGCUGUUUUUCUAGAUGUAGCGCAGGCGUUCGAUAAGAUCUGGCAUCAAGCUUUUAUUGAAAAAUCAAAAACGUUUUACCUUACGAAUUGCAGAACACAUUGGAGUCAUAUUUAAAAAACAGUUAAAGUUAAAGCAGAUUUCAUCUCAGAGGAAUGAGGAAUAACGGCUGGAUUACAUCAGGGUAGUGUAUUAGAGAUUCCAAUCUAAAAUGCUUAGAGCAAUCAUGGGUUCACCAUGGUACAUGGGUAACGAAAAUAUAUAUAAAAAUCUUGAUACUCCUAUGGUAAAGAAGGAGAUAGGUAGGAUAAUUAGAGAUUUACCAGCCUAUUAGAGAUUAACGUUUUACCAAAACAGCUCUGAAUUUCUUCCACAUAAGCACCGAAGUCCUCAUAUUUAAUGUACUGAUGCCCCACUAUAAUUGCAGGAUUUGUGAAAAGUUCUUUUCCGAUAUAUUCACUAGUGCUUACUUUACAUUUUGUAAAGUAAACGAUACAGAUCGAUUUCAAAGUUGUGGUAUAUAGGAAGCAGGAAAAUAUUAUGAACCGAAUUUCAUUCAAAUUGGUCGAGUAGUUUCGUAGAUAUGGUUUAUGGCAUAUAUGUAUGCGGAGCCACACCCAUUUAAAAUUGUGUAUACCAAUUUGAGUGCAGCCUUUAUGUACAUCUUUAUAAUGAAAUUUAAAGUUUGUAGUGUUUUUCAUUACUGAAUUAAAGCAUUGUAUUAAAGGUAGGCGUGGUUGCCAAGCGAUUUUCUCCAUUUAGACAACUCUAGAGAGUUUGGUUGAUAUAGCUUUUGUAGUUUACGAGAUAUGUAGAAAAACUUUGUAGGGGCGGGGCCACUAGGCCAUCCUACCACCAAUAAUUACGAUUUUAUUGCAUACCGUAAUGGUUGUUGUUGGACGCAUUACUUUUAGACAGGUUUUUAAAUUUGUUAAUUAUUCUUUCUCUAGUAAAAGUUAUUUAUUUAUUUUCAGCAUAACCUGUUACGAUAUAACAUCACCGUUCAGUCGCUUAAAUGAUGUUUUUAAAUGUUAAGAAUUAGAAGGUCUUUCCAAAGGUGUGGAGAUUUUCAUCUUCAACGGCUUCACCAGCAGGUACUGCAUCGAACACAUUCAAAGCUGGAGCACUUUCGUCCAUUCGAACAACAUAACCUGUAGUGGGUAGUCGCUGUAUUUUCAUUCGCUGUACUAUGUCUACGUCGUCGUAGAACUACUACAGCUCAUCGUUCCAUCGACUGUGGUAUUCGCCGUUGUCAAUGUUCAAAGGACCUUUCUCGUAAACUUCUAGUGUCGUCUCAUCGGAUGUCGUUAUCGUCCACGCUUCUGCACCAUAUAUCAGGACGAAAAUAAUACUUGAGCAACUUGUAGUGUUUGGUUUUGGUUCGUCGAGAGAGGACUUAACUUUUCAAUUGCCCUCUCAGUCCAUAGUAGCACCUGUUGGUAAGAGAGAUCCUGCGUAUGAUUUCGAGGCUGACAUAGUUGGUUCCAUGUAUGGGUGAUUCUACGAUAAGAGGUAACUUGUGCGGCAAUCAGCUUAAAGUAUUGUGUUUGUCCUUUGUGUUGCUAUUUUUUUUUUAAUGAAUCACAUCAUAUUAAUGCAAUGUAUUAAAUAAAAUUACAACUUACUGCAUAAUUAACGCAAUUUUUUCUCAAAUUCCUUACAAAGUCCAAAAAAGUCUCUCCCCUGGCUUGUCCCAUUGCUACUUACUGCAUAAUUAACGCAAUUUUUUCUCAAAUUCCUUACAAAGUCUAAAAAAGUCUCUCCCCUGGCUUGUCCCAUUGCUACUUUUUAUUUAACUUUCGGGCAAUACAUAUAUUUUUUGUGGGAGAUGCUAAACCUAAACUAAGUUCAAUCGGAAGUAAAAUAAUUAAAUUUAAGUACUGUUAAAUAAAAAACAAAAUUAUUUUGUUUAUUUCAUAUAAUAUUUAAUAUUAACUUUUGUCCCGAUUUUUUAAUGUAUCUACCCUCCCAAAUUUUGUUCGCCGUGUACGACAUAAAUUCCAAGACGACCGCAUUGAAAAAAGUGCUCAAGAACAUAUAUCAGCUUGAAGUUAACAAUACUAAUCGCGAAAUCCGUUUGACCGCUGUAGUUUUUUAGUUAUUGCGGCCCGAUCGUGCGGUGUACUGGAUUCGAAAACUGAUUUUGACUCUCCCCUGGCAAUUCAUAUUACGUAUACUAUUAAUUUAAUUUAUUUGCCUUUAUUGUCCUAAGUUACUAAUACUGUGAUAAUUAAAGUGAAAUAAAUAAUUAACCCAAAAAAUAAUUAGUCACUUAAAACAAUUAAAUUUUUCAUGAAAACGUCUCUCCCCUGCCGUAUUUCCCCUGGCAAAAUAACUACUAGGGGAGAAAGUUAGAGACCAGGGAAGAUA
Long non-coding RNA from Zeugodacus cucurbitae (melon fly), 3925 nucleotides. RefSeq lists it as uncharacterized. Lineage: Eukaryota; Metazoa; Arthropoda; Insecta; Diptera; Tephritidae. The transcript is spliced from 2 exons. The record is from RefSeq and is a predicted model, not a curated record.